Molecule: ribosomal RNA, 348 nt
Filed under: Salmonella enterica subsp. enterica serovar Typhimurium
Lineage: Bacteria; Pseudomonadati; Pseudomonadota; Gammaproteobacteria; Enterobacterales; Enterobacteriaceae
Description: bacterial SSU rRNA
Rfam family: Bacterial small subunit ribosomal RNA
Source: RNAcentral
GUCUACUUGGAGGUUCUGCCCUUGAGGCGUUGCUUCCUGAGCUAUCUCGUUAAGUAGACCGCCUGGGGAGUACGGCCGCAAGUUUAAAACUCAAAUGAAUUGACGGGGGCCCGCACUAGCGGUGGAGCAAGAGGUAUAAUUCGAUGCAACGCGAAGAACCUUACCUGGUCUUGACAUCCACAGAACUUUCCAGAGAUGGACUGGUGCCUUCGGGAACUGUGAGACAGGUGCUGCAUGGCUGUCGUCAGCUCGUGUUGUGAAAUGUUGGGUUAAGUCCCGCAACGAGCGCAACCCUUAUCCUUUGUUGCCAGCGGUCCGGCCGGGAACUCAAAGGAGACUGCCAGUGAU